Molecule: long non-coding RNA, 1451 nt
Organism: Lathyrus oleraceus (garden pea)
Lineage: Eukaryota; Viridiplantae; Streptophyta; Magnoliopsida; Fabales; Fabaceae
Exons: 2
Source: RefSeq, a predicted model, not a curated record
AAAAAUCGUGAUAAAUUUCUUCUUACUAGAGUCAAACCGUGGUCAGCAUCAUGGUUCCCUUUCUGAAUUUCAUAGAGCGAAAAAACAAUUAUAACUUGUUCCCUUUUUGAAUUUCAUAGAGAGCUAAGUGAAAAUUAUUCCCUCCGAAACUCAUCAAAACCCCCAUCUUACGAUUAUUCAGAAGCUGUGAACUUCAAGCCAAACAAACAUUGUCCUCGUUACAAUUCUUCUCCCAAACCCUAACCCUUUCUUCCCUUAUCCUUCUUCUCAAACCCUUCAAAUUGCAUACAGAGAGUUAGGAUUUUAAGGUUUUAUCCAGUCGAUAACGCUUAAGAACAGUCUGGAUGAAAUUCAAGUAUUUCACAAAAUCAUGUCAAUCAAGGGUUUCACAAAAUCAUCAAUCAAAGGUUUCAAGUAAGUAUUUCAACGGCAACAACAAUUUCCCUGAAAGCUGCAAUGGUCAUUAGCAUGUGAUGAAAUAAAUUCUAAUAAAGAGGAAUAGUUCAUUUUCAAGUUGUGUACAAUUUGUCCCCCAAGUAAGAGCUUCCUUAAACUUGUGUAUGAUCUCUCCUUCAACUUCCUUACAAGCUUCAUUUAACAUGUACAAUCUCUCCUUCAAAUUUCUCUUUUCUCUAUGUUCGAAUCUAACCCUUUCUUUAUCGUAGGUCUCAAACUCUAACAAUUAAAGACUUUGUUUGUUCAAAAUUUCCCAAACCUCAAAUGAUUUUCAAACUUUUUUCCAUUCAGUAUUGUGAUUCCCAACAAAAAAUGGUUAUUUUUACUCUAAUUUAUGAUUUAAUCAAUUUUUCUUCUUUCAUAUAUAUUGUAGAAAUAACUUUGCUUUUCUCUGUUGGAACCACUCGUAGCUGAGACAAUGUGCGAGAGUUCAAUUCAUCCUGGUAACAAAACAAUUUAGUGCUACAUUAUUAUGUUGAGAAACUUGUUCUUGUUUCUACUGAUUUGGUGUUGUGGUGCUUACCUAUGAUGCAUAGGUACGUGUACGGUAGUCGGUGCGGGUACUGGUACCGGUACAGGAUACAGGAUACGACAUUUUAAAAAAAACCAAGAAGGAACACGUGUAAAACAAGAUGUACCAACAUGUGGACUAUAACAUUUAAUCUCUUGGAAACAGACAUAUGAGAAUUGCAGUUGGUUCAGAUUUCGUCUAUCCAAGAUUCUCUCCACAAUAGAAGAUUUGGAAGUCAAGGAGAAGAGUUUAUUUGGAUGUUCUAGUGCAACAUGUGGAACACGGUUAUACAACAUCUGACUUUGACAACAGGCCAUGUUGAAUGUUGUUUGAUGCAUAUUUUUUGAUUGAUUUUUAAUAAGAUUUGAUGCAAUUAUUUUUAGUAAUGUUUGGUUAAUUUAUUUGAUAGUUGGAGAUGUUCAAAUUAGAUUUAAACUUGAUUUAAAUUUGAAUUUGAAAUAUAACAAAUCAUAUCUUUUUGAGA